UACAGAGGUCCCGAGCGUUGUUCGGAUUUACUGGGCGUAAAGAGCGCGCAGGCGGUCGUUCAAGUCGAGUGUGAAAGCCCCCGGCUCAACUGGGGAGGGUCACUCGAUACUGAUCGACUUGAAGGCAGGAGAGGGAAGCGGAAUUCCCGGUGUAGUGGUGAAAUGCGUAGAUAUCGGGAGGAACACCAGUGGCGAAGGCGGCUUCCUGGCCUGUUCUUGACGCUGAGGCGCGAAAGCUAGGGGAGCAAACGGG
RNAcentral lists this ribosomal RNA (253 nucleotides) under uncultured bacterium. RNAcentral describes it as "partial 16S ribosomal RNA". It matches the Rfam family "Bacterial small subunit ribosomal RNA", at positions 524 to 776 of the family's 1533-position model. The record is from RNAcentral.